This 282-nucleotide long non-coding RNA is filed under the name Anser brachyrhynchus (Pink-footed goose). RNAcentral describes it as "lncRNA (ENSABRG00000017436.1)". Lineage: Eukaryota; Metazoa; Chordata; Aves; Anseriformes; Anatidae. The record is from RNAcentral.
ACAUCAAAGGAAAUUGAUGUCAGGUGUGAACAGAAGCUGUUGAAUAUAUCUGUUGAGGAAGCUGAGUGGUGUGUCUGGAUGGGAGAGAUGAAGGGCAGCUUAAAACAUUAACAAAACUACAGGGAGAACCUUGAUGUGUGCUCCAAAAUGGAACCCUUUAAGUUUUGACAAAUACAGCUUUCUAUUAAAUCCUUAAAAUCAAUGUUGAUACAUAUUUAAAUGGUCAGAAAUAUAAUUAGCAUUUCAAAGGAUGUGAAGAUGCACUACCUCGGGGACCACAAU